CUAAACUAAAAGGAGUACUAUCUAUACAAACGAAUUUGCUAAAUAACCAGGAAUUCAAACAGUCAAGAACAAAUCAGUCCGAAUAGAAACGUUUUGAUGCUUCUGUUAUUGGAUUAAAUUACUGUUACUAAUUACUUACCUAUUCUGAAACUAACUAUUAUGGCAGAACAAACUAAAUGUCAAAACCACUUCAUAUUAAUAUCACCUGCUACAGUGAAGCAAACCAACAACCUAGCAAUUUCGAAUUUUAAAACUAACAGCAUGUAAAUAUAAGCAUAACAAUUCAAUAGUCCCUAGUUACAGUCCAUGUGCAUCUACCAUUCAUAUAAUACAACACAAAUGGCUAAUAUCAACUAUGUCUAAUUAACUAUUAUCAAUUCAGUGACAAACAUCAGAAGACAUCCAAACAUAUAUAAAGCUGCAAACUCUUUUCAUUUCAACUUCAAUUUCCAUCUACAUCGAGGGAUUCAAGAGAAGAUAUCUGGGAUUUAACAGAAAUAAGAAGGAGGAAGGUCAGUAGCAGCAACAGUGGAUCAAAAACAGCCCAGGAAAAGUUCAGAAGAGGACAGAAUCAGGAGAACCAAUCGUAAACCACUUGAAUCCACCCAAAUAAACACAAAAUUGAACUCAGGCAAUCCAUAACACCUUCAGCAACAGAAACAACUAUACAACAACUUAAAUAUACCUCAUCCUGAUUGCAAAGACCAAAUCAAGUAGUUUCAGAACUUCAAUUACUAAUUACUGAACUGGAAUGGCAAACUGGAAGCCAACCUCGAAUUUGAAUUGCUAAAUUCCAAUGGAACAGUUGUGUUUUUGUUUUUGUUUUUGAUUUUUGUUUUUUUGGUUUUUGAAUUUGAAAAUUAUUACAUAUCUGGAAGAAUUAGAAUGGCAAGAGCGUUUUUGAGCUAAUAAUGGCUAAAAAAGAAGCCCCUAGCAAGUCUGUUUUGAUCCCUUUUUAUAGGUGAAUUCAGGUCUUUGAAUUACCUCUUAGGUCCCUAUUCAAUUUCUCUUUCAAUCCCUAAACUUCCUAACUUAUUUUGCAAGCUUGCAUCCUCUUUAUUGAUAUUUCAUUACGACCCCUUACCUAGAAGCUUCUAAGGUCUUCUUUUUAACCACUUGCAAGAUUUCCUAUGUGAAAUCCCUAUUCCGCCCUACCCUUUCCACUGAAUUACCAAUUCAAUCAGUUAAACCCUCAAAACCUUUCAUCCUAUAUGAUCCUAAACCCCCAGUUAAGAAAUCAAAGUGAAACUAACUAAACUAAUUGGAACCAAUUAACCACAUAAUUCAAAGCCAAUUAUCUCUAACCGAUUAGGUUUAGUUAUCAAAACUCAACAUAACUUAGCAUCAAAAUCAACAAAAUGAGAAACAUAGGAAUAUUUAUAGAUUAAACCACAGUUGAACAAAUCAAUGCCUAACUAAUCUAACUUUCAAUCACCAAGAUAGAGUAAUCAGCUGUCAUUAAACUAAACUAAAGGAAUCCUAAAUUAUUGACGAAUUAAACAAAACCAUAACUAAUUUGAUUUAUUGAAUACCUAUUCAACUAACAGAGGAGGAGGCAUAAGGCAUAGAGAAAUAAAAAGAAGUACUUCAAUUGAACGACUAAGCCAUACAAAUAUCAAGCAAAACUAAUAAAACAAAAAACAAGAAUGGACAACUUACUGAAAAAAGUAAACUCCGGCCGGUUCGUCCACUUUCCAAUUUGACCAUUUCCGGCGGGCAUUGAGCGCUAAGGCUGUUGAAUUCCUUAUCAGUACACCCCAACGAACAUCUAGUAUAAAUUUGGGACGAAUUAGACCUACUAGAGUUUUGGCCGAAAAAUUUGAAAUGCAUAUUCGAGCUUCUGGUCACAUUCGAGCCAAUCAGCUAUGGGGGUUUUGUAGAGGAUGGUGUGACGAUCCUAUGCUGUAAAUUUGGGGUCAUUUAGCAUAAUAGACGUCAUGGCCAGAAAAUCUUCCAUCGAUUAUUCGACGGAUUCUGGGUGUCUUUGAGGGGAACCGUAGACAGAUUUGGUAUGAGGGGACGGAGAAGAACAAAGGGUGUUAAUUUGGGGUGACUCGGAGAUGGUGUCGUUCACCGACGGUGGGGUUCCGGCGAGGCUCAGAGAUAGUACGAGUAAGGAUAGUUAUAAUGGGGAAUGUAACAAUUAUUUGUGGCCAUUGGAUCAAGAGCCAUCAACGGCUGAAAUUAAAUCCAGACCAAACGACGUCGUUGGUUGUCCCCUGGAGCAGACCGGGUUGGGGCAUGGUUGGGCCUGGGCAGAAAAUGUGCAUUGGGCUCGAAUUUGAUUUAAAAAU
RNAcentral lists this long non-coding RNA (2294 nucleotides) under Nicotiana benthamiana. RNAcentral describes it as "long non-coding RNA (NBEN_LNC012188)". Lineage: Eukaryota; Viridiplantae; Streptophyta; Magnoliopsida; Solanales; Solanaceae. The record is from RNAcentral.